This 444-nucleotide ribosomal RNA is filed under the name uncultured bacterium. RNAcentral's name for it is "bacterial SSU rRNA". It matches the Rfam family "Bacterial small subunit ribosomal RNA", at positions 354 to 796 of the family's 1533-position model. The record is from RNAcentral.
GUAGGGAAUAUUGGGCAAUGGACGAGAGUCUGACCCAGCCAUGCCGCGUGCAGGAAGACGGCGUUCUGCGUUGUAAACUGCUUUUAUCUGGGAAGAAAAGGCCCCUGCGGGGGACAUUGCCGGUACCAGAUGAAUAAGCACCGGCUAACUCCGUGCCAGCAGCCGCGGUAAUACGGAGGGUGCAAGCGUUGUCCGGAUUUAUUGGGUUUAAAGGGUGCGUAGGAGGCUAUUUAAGUCAGUGGUGAAAGACCCCGGCUCAACCGGGGCAGUGCCAUUGAUACUGGACAGCUUGAGUAUUGGAGGGGUACAUGGAAUUGACGGUGUAGCGGUGAAAUGCAUAGAUACCGUCAGGAACACCGAUAGCGAAGGCAUUGUACUGGCCAAUAACUGACGCUGAUGCACGAAAGCAUGGGUAGCGAACAGGAUUAGAUACCCGUGUAGUCC